RNAcentral lists this ribosomal RNA (492 nucleotides) under uncultured bacterium. Its description in RNAcentral is "partial 16S ribosomal RNA". It matches the Rfam family "Bacterial small subunit ribosomal RNA", at positions 29 to 507 of the family's 1533-position model. The record is from RNAcentral.
AGUGAACGCUGGCGGUAGGCCUAACACAUGCAAGUCGAACGGCAGCACAGUAAGAGCUUGCUCUUACGGGUGGCGAGUGGCGGACGGGUGAGGAAUACAUCGGAAUCUACUUUUUCGUGGGGGAUAACGUAGGGAAACUUACGCUAAUACCGCAUACGACCUACGGGUGAAAGCAGGGGAUCUUCGGACCUUGCGCGAUUGAAUGAGCCGAUGUCGGAUUAGCUAGUUGGCGGGGUAAAGGCCCACCAAGCCGACGAUCCGUAGCUGGUCUGAGAGGAUGAUCAGCCACACUGGAACUGAGACACGGUCCAGACUCCUACGGGAGGCAGCAGUGGGGAAUAUUGGACAAUGGGCGCAAGCCUGAUCCAGCCAUACCGCGUGGGUGAAGAAGGCCUUCGGGUUGUAAAGCCCUUUUGUUGGGAAGGAAAAGCAGCAGGUUAAUACCCCGCUGUUCUGACGGUACCCAAAGAAUAAGCACCGGCUAACUUCGUG